UACGUAGGUGGCAAGCGUUAUCCGGAAUUAUUGGGCGUAAAGAGCGCGCAGGUGGUUGAUUAAGUCUGAUGUGAAAGCCCACGGCUUAACCGUGGAGGGUCAUUGGAAACUGGUCGACUUGAGUGCAGAAGAGGGAAGUGGAAUUCCAUGUGUAGCGGUGAAAUGCGUAGAGAUAUGGAGGAACACCAGUGGCGAAGGCGGCUUUCUGGCCAGUUACUGACGCUCAUGCGCGAAAGCUGGGGUAGCGAACCGGAUUAGAUACCCCCGUA
RNAcentral lists this ribosomal RNA (269 nucleotides) under uncultured prokaryote. RNAcentral's name for it is "partial 16S ribosomal RNA". It matches the Rfam family "Bacterial small subunit ribosomal RNA", at positions 524 to 792 of the family's 1533-position model. The record is from RNAcentral.